Homo sapiens (human) is the source of this 1277-nucleotide long non-coding RNA. Ensembl annotates it as caspase 4 like, pseudogene. Its record names the gene CASP4LP. NCBI's taxonomy places the organism in Eukaryota, Metazoa, Chordata, Mammalia, Primates, Hominidae. The record is from Ensembl.
CAGUCUGAGCCUUUUUUCAGUGCUGUAAGAAAGGACGGAGGCUGUUAUCUAUGGCAGAUCUAUCCAAUAAAGGAGAGAAAGGACCGCAUACGCCUGGUUCUCAUCAUAUGCAAUAAAGAGUUUGACCAUCUGCCUCCAAGAAAUGGGGCUGACUUUGCCAUCAUGGAGAUGAAGAAGCUGCUUGAGGAUCUGGGUUACAGUGUGGAUGUAGAAGAGAAUCUGACAGCCAGGCAAACCAUGGGGAACAGUGGGUCAGAGACUGUCCAGCAUCUUUGGGAGUCAUGUCUUCACAGUCACCUAAGAACCUGGAGGAUGCAGUUUGCAAGACAUACCAGAGAAGGACUUCAUUGUUUUCUGCUCUUCAACCUCAUGUAUACGUCUUUUGGUGGUAUUAAGUGAUUUGUGGGCCUGAGGCUACCUUUGAAUGAUUCUACCAAAUCAAGAAUCCCUAAGAAACAAUGAUCCGAGGGAAUGUUGUGUGCUCUCCCAUAUUUUACAUGAUCUUAGAUGUGAUGUGAAAACAGAUUCCUUCCCCCUCCCACACCCACGUUUUUAAAAAUUGUACUUUUCUUAUAAGUGUUACAAUUUAAAGCCAAAGGCAUACCAAAUAUUAAAGCAACACAACAUAAGGAAUCCCAUUCACCACACACCAUUUAAACACAAAUGAUGGAUUCUGUUAUUUAUCAAACCCAUUUAAUGUUUUGUGUAGUGUUUUCAUGGAUUCCAGGAAUGGCUUCCCUUUCUCAAAUGAUCAAUUUCAAGUCUUAUUCUCCAUAUUUCCCAUCUGAUUCCACUAUGAGCAGUGCCAUUGCAUGCCCUACUAGAACUGUGGAUACCCUUUAAAACAAGUAGAAGAUGAUAGGGUGGGACUCAUUACGUCUAAUCUUGGGGAACACUGAUAACGUGUCCAGGAGAGACAGCACAAGGGGCUCCAUCUUCAUCACACAACUCAUCGCAUGCUUCCAGAGAUAUUCCUGGCGCUGCCACCUAGAGGAAGUAUUUUGGAAGGUUCAGCAAGCAUUUGAAAGUCCGGAGGCAACAGUCCAAAUGCCCACCAUAGAACGAGUGUCCAUGACAAGAUAUUUCUACCUCUUUCCUGGCAAUUGAAAAUGGUUAAGCAUUGAGAGUUGUUGGUGGUGUAUGAAAUAAAUGAAAGUGUGAUAUUGGAGGAAACCACAAGCAGCCCAGCCCUCCUUUAUCAACUUCAAGAAACACCUUUACUAGUACAGAUUGAAUGCUUAACAUUUUGUAUUUCAAUAAAGGUGAAGACAAAUGAA